GCGACGGUAACGAUCAAUUUCCUCGAUUUCUCGAAACGGAUUGUGUUAUGGAUUCUAUGUGUUUAAUUCCAUUAAUACAGUCGCCCACUAAGAGUUCUUCAAUGCGUGUUUCGCGUCGGCGGGAUCUGUAAUUUCUGGGUAUAAAUAUCUCGGUAUUACUCCGCUGUAAGUCACGAUCUAUUCUUCUUCCUACUACUCAUCUUUCAUAUACUAAAUUGUUCUCAAAGUUCACUGAUAUUAAAAUUUCCGGUGAACCUCAUCAUGUUUAAAUUUAUCCUCUGAAUUUUAUAAGUUCUUUUCGCUUGAUAUAUUGGUUUUGAAACUCAUAAUGAUCAAACUUUUUCAAAAGCUUUAGUUUAUGGGAGAUGAUUUCGUUUUUGAUUUUGUUUGUGGAUUCUGUUAAAUUUAUUCAUGUAUUGAUUAUCAAUUUUUUUAAUUCAAAAGCUUCGUUAUGGGAGAUGAUUUAGAUUUCGAUUUUGGUGGUUGAUUUUGUUUCAGUUUGUUCUUUUAUUGUUUUUUUUUAAUUCUUCUCCCUUUGAUAAUCUCCUUUAUGCUUCCCCUUCGAUUGCUGUUCAUUUUCUAGGACAAUAUCAACGAGUCACAGAAAAGUAAAGCACUAUAUUGGCCUUUCACUGAAUUUUGCAGCUACGUAUCGUUCUCAAAGUUUAUUGAUGAUCACAUCUUUGUCAGCUUCGUUUAGAUUCCACUCAAGCUAGGGGUAGUCAAAGAAUCUUUUUUUUUUCCUCUUGAAUUUGAUAUAGGUGACCAGCUUGAUAACAGGUUCGUCUUUUGCCAAAAGAUUCUGACUUUCUUCAAUAGAUUCAAACAAAGAGUUGAGUUUUCUAUUGGUAUUUGAUGAGUCAAUUCUAAGUUUGAUUCAGUGGAAUAAUUAAUGGUGUUAUUUGCGCUUCGUUGCAGCUCAUGUAGCUUAUUGUAAGUUGAUGUUUUUUUUUGUGUUCAGGGAUUUAAAAGGAUGACACAAAGUGGUAAAGAAGAAACUAUGGCAUCUCAAUGUGUCAGUGCUAUGGUUGAGAUCAAUAUAUUGCCGUAUAAGAUCAACUUUGUUAUUCACUUAAUUUUUAUCCAUGCAUCCGUUUCUUUCGUAAUAAAGUGUGUAAUCUAUAAUUUCAGUGAUUUGAUUAGAAUCGUGAAGCUAAUGCCGUAUAACAAAAUUACUCACUGCUUUUUUUGUUCAAAAAAUUCAAAGAGAUAAUUAACAUGAG
Molecule: long non-coding RNA, 1223 nt
Filed under: Brassica napus (rape)
Lineage: Eukaryota; Viridiplantae; Streptophyta; Magnoliopsida; Brassicales; Brassicaceae
Description: long non-coding RNA (BNAP_LNC020830)
Source: RNAcentral